This is a long non-coding RNA of Papaver somniferum (opium poppy), 456 nucleotides long. RefSeq lists it as uncharacterized. The record is from RefSeq and is a predicted model, not a curated record. The transcript is spliced from 3 exons. Lineage: Eukaryota; Viridiplantae; Streptophyta; Magnoliopsida; Ranunculales; Papaveraceae.
AUAUCUCGAUCUCUAAAUCUCUCAAAAGAUAACCCAUAAUCAGAAAACCCUAACUCAGAAGCAAUCUCUCAAUCUAUUCAGCAGAAACUCAAAGGAUUAAUCUCUCGAACUCAAUCAGAUCUCACCAAGGGGCAUAACUGCAAUAAUGAAGACUAGCAAGGAAGCAGUAAAGAAGAAGCCGGUCAAGCAGUUGGAAAUAAAGAUGAAAAACAAAGAGAAGACUGAUGAAGCAUCCCUGAUAAAUAACAAGUCCAAAACUGAUAAUGCUGAACCAUCUUCUAAUAUAAUUGCAAAGUAGUUUAGUUUUGCAAUUUUGAGUUUUUGAAUCGAAAUCAAAUGAAUUAGAUGAAAUGAUGAAUGUUAAAUUAAGUACUUAGGUUGGGAAUGAGCUUUAGAUGGCCUGAAUGUGGCCGGAAAUAGCCCAGAAAUCGAUUUCUGGCGAGUUGACUCAACAAA